AACGAACGCUGGCGGCAUGCCUAACACAUGCAAGUCGAACGAGACCUUCGGGUCUAGUGGCGCAUGGGUGCGUAACGCGUGGGAACCUGCCCAUAGGUUCGGAAUAACUACCCGAAAGGGGUGCGAAUACCGGAUAAUGUCUUCGGACCAAAGAUUUAUCGCCUUUGGAUGGGCCCGCGUUGGAUUAGCUGGUUGGUAGGGUAAAAGCCUACCAAGGCGACGAUCCAUAGCUGGUCUGAGAGAAUGAUCAGCCACUCUGGGACUGAGACGCGGCCCAGACUCCUACGGGAGGCAGCAGUGCGGAAUAUUGGACAAUGGGCGAAAGCCUGAUCCAGCAAUGCCGCGUGAGUGAUGAAGGCCUGAGGGUUGUAAAGCUCUUUUACCCGGGAUGAUAAUGACAGUACCGGAAGAAUAAGCUCCGGCUAACUCCGUG
Molecule: ribosomal RNA, 433 nt
Filed under: uncultured bacterium
Lineage: Bacteria
Description: partial 16S ribosomal RNA
Rfam family: Bacterial small subunit ribosomal RNA
Source: RNAcentral